RNAcentral lists this ribosomal RNA (69 nucleotides) under Mentha spicata (spearmint). Lineage: Eukaryota; Viridiplantae; Streptophyta; Magnoliopsida; Lamiales; Lamiaceae. The record is from RNAcentral.
GUGCUUGGGCGAGAGUAGUACUAGGAUGGGUGACCCCCUGGGAAGUCCUCGUGUUGCAUCCCUUUUAUU